RNAcentral lists this ribosomal RNA (468 nucleotides) under uncultured bacterium. RNAcentral's name for it is "partial 16S ribosomal RNA". It matches the Rfam family "Bacterial small subunit ribosomal RNA", at positions 28 to 507 of the family's 1533-position model. The record is from RNAcentral.
GACGAACGCUGGCGGCGUGCUUAACACAUGCAAGUCGAACGGAAAGGCCCUGCUUUUGUGGGGUGCUCGAGUGGCGAACGGGUGAGUAACACGUGAGUAACCUGCCCUGGACUUUGGGAUAACUUCAGGAAACUGGGGCUAAUACCGGAUAGGAGCUCCUGCUGCAUGGUGGGGGUUGGAAAGGUUCGGCGGUUGGGGAUGGACUCGCGGCUUAUCAGCUUGUUGGUGGGGUAGUGGCUUACCAAGGCUUUGACGGGUAGCCGGCCUGAGAGGGUGACCGGCCACAUUGGGACUGAGAUACGGCCCAGACUCCUACGGGAGGCAGCAGUGGGGAAUAUUGCACAAUGGGCGGAAGCCUGAUGCAGCAACGCCGCGUGCGGGAUGACGGCCGUCGGGUUGUAAACCGCUUUCGCCUGUGACGAAGCGUGAGUGACGGUAAUGGGUAAAGAAGCACCGGCUAACUACGUG